UUGUACACUCAGUACAUUAAUAGUAUUGGUACCGUGUUCUUGCCGUAACCUGUAAAGCUGGAGCAGCCUGCGAGGCAGGGGGAGGUGUAGGUGAUGCCGUUGUCUGAACACACAGGGUCCCACUCCCCAGCCAAGCAGGAGCAGUCUCUGUUACACUCUGACAACAGGCUGCCAUCGUACACCAGGGGACCUGGGGGACAGAGAAAAUGGCUGGUAAUAAUGAUGUUUAAAUAAUUGUUGCUGAACUAUCAUUGACACAGGCACAGUGACAAAACAGCCAGGAAUCCUGGCUCAGUAACAACCAUACUGUAUAUGCCCACAAGGGGGAGCCCCGGCACAAGCCCAUGUGUGUUUUGGUCUAACUCUCCCUCAUAUUCCACUGAUCAAAAUUUUUAUUUUUAUCAACCCACCCACCAACCAACCAAUCAGAUGUCAAAUUUACCCAUUCUAGGACAAGGUCAGACCAGCCACAUGAACGUGCCAGAAUGCAGAGGGAGGAGGAGGUUGGCCAUGAAGGAGGUGAUGAAAGACAGUUGGGCUCCAGACACAACGCCAAGCUUAUACCUCUUCAUCAGUAGACCUCCCAGGAAUAUCCCCACCGCACCCACAGAUAACUCAUCAUCACAAAAAUCCCUGAAAUCAUUAUCUAUCUUCUUAGCAAUGUUUGCAACACGUCAUGCUCUAUCAACUGAGCUACGAAGGAGCACGUCGACGUCACUAGAAUGAUGACAAGCAAUUUUAACGUAUUCUAAAGGGAAUCAUAGAAUUCCAAACUAAUUUCUAUGGCAACACAGUUGUCAAUUUUGUAAACAAUCAUUUUCAAACGUGUGUUGCCAAGAGACAUCUAACCGACGUUCUAUGGAACGUUUUCUGUGCGAAAAAACAACUUCAGUUUGCUGCUGACAACAAACUUGUUUGAUUUUUGAGACCUGAGAACAAUCGACUGGAAAAUGCCUGGGUGCUUUUCAAGACUGGCGGAGAGAGUGCGUGGACGUCGGCGGCCUAAUGCUUCGACAGGUUGUUCAAAUUCAUUUGUGGCUUGUUUUUCUUGUCUUUUUCUGUUUUGCAG
This is a long non-coding RNA of Oncorhynchus tshawytscha (Chinook salmon), 1069 nucleotides long. The record is from Ensembl. NCBI's taxonomy places the organism in Eukaryota, Metazoa, Chordata, Actinopteri, Salmoniformes, Salmonidae.